Molecule: ribosomal RNA, 520 nt
Filed under: uncultured Glomus
Lineage: Eukaryota; Fungi; Glomeromycota; Glomeromycetes; Glomerales; Glomeraceae
Description: SSU rRNA
Rfam family: Eukaryotic small subunit ribosomal RNA
Source: RNAcentral
AGCAGCCGCGGUAAUUCCAGCUCCAAUAGCGUAUAUUAAAGUUGUUGCAGUUAAAAAGCUCGUAGUUGAAUUUCGGGAUUUAUCCGUUGGUCGGGCUUUUUGGUCUGUACUGGCGUGAUGGAUUCCUACCUUCUGAAUAACCGGCAUGCCAUUAAUUUGGUGCGCCGGGGAAGCAGGACUGUUACCUUGAAAAAAGUUAGAGUGCUUAAAGCAGGCUUAUGCCUGAAUACAUUAGCAUGGAAUAAUGAAAUAGGACGCAUGGUUCUAUUUUGUUGGUUUCUAGGAUCACCGUAAUGAUUAAUAGGGAUAGUUGGGGGCAUUAGUAUUCAAUUGUCAGAGGUGAAAUUCUUGGAUUUAUUGAAGACUAACUUCUGCGAAAGCAUUUGCCAAGGAUGUUUUCAUUAAUCAAGAACGAAAGUUAGGGGAUCGGAGACGAUCAGAUACCGUCGUAGUCUUAACCAUAAACUAUGCCGACUAGGGAUCGGACGAUGUUAAUUUUUAAUGACUCGUUCUGGCGCCU